Molecule: ribosomal RNA, 540 nt
Filed under: Trichoderma asperellum
Lineage: Eukaryota; Fungi; Ascomycota; Sordariomycetes; Hypocreales; Hypocreaceae
Description: eukaryotic LSU rRNA
Rfam family: 5.8S ribosomal RNA (bases 184-337)
Source: RNAcentral
CCGAGUUUACAACUCCCAAACCCAAUGUGAACGUUACCAAACUGUUGCCUCGGCGGGGUCACGCCCCGGGUGCGUCGCAGCCCCGGAACCAGGCGCCCGCCGGAGGAACCAACCAAACUCUUUCUGUAGUCCCCUCGCGGACGUAUUUCUUACAGCUCUGAGCAAAAAUUCAAAAUGAAUCAAAACUUUCAACAACGGAUCUCUUGGUUCUGGCAUCGAUGAAGAACGCAGCGAAAUGCGAUAAGUAAUGUGAAUUGCAGAAUUCAGUGAAUCAUCGAAUCUUUGAACGCACAUUGCGCCCGCCAGUAUUCUGGCGGGCAUGCCUGUCCGAGCGUCAUUUCAACCCUCGAACCCCUCCGGGGGAUCGGCGUUGGGGAUCGGGACCCCUCACACGGGUGCCGGCCCCGAAAUACAGUGGCGGUCUCGCCGCAGCCUCUCCUGCGCAGUAGUUUGCACAACUCGCACCGGGAGCGCGGCGCGUCCACGUCCGUAAAACACCCAACUUUCUGAAAUGUUGACCUCGGAUCAGGUAGGAAUACC